This 77-nucleotide transfer RNA is filed under the name Kiritimatiellia bacterium. Its description in RNAcentral is "tRNA-Arg". It matches the Rfam family "tRNA". From Rfam's summary of the family: Transfer RNA (tRNA) molecules are approximately 80 nucleotides in length. Their secondary structure includes four short double-helical elements and three loops (D, anti-codon, and T loops). The record is from RNAcentral. Lineage: Bacteria; Pseudomonadati; Kiritimatiellota; Kiritimatiellia.
GCGCCCGUAGCUCAAUUGGAUAGAGCGUCGGCCUCCGGAGCCGAAGGUUACGCGUUCGAACCGCGUCGGGCGUACCA